This 526-nucleotide ribosomal RNA is filed under the name Verruconis gallopava. RNAcentral describes it as "eukaryotic LSU rRNA". It matches the Rfam family "Eukaryotic large subunit ribosomal RNA", at positions 50 to 581 of the family's 3401-position model. The record is from RNAcentral. Lineage: Eukaryota; Fungi; Ascomycota; Dothideomycetes; Venturiales; Sympoventuriaceae.
GCGGAGGAAAAGAAACCAACUGGGAUUGCCUCAGUAACGGCGAGUGAAGCGGCAACAGCUCAAAUUUGAAAUCUGGCGCCUUGGGCGUCCGAGUUGUAAUUUGUAGAGGGAGUCUCGUGUUAAGGGUCGGUCCAAGUGCCUUGGAACAGGAUACCGAAGAGGGUGAGAGUCCCGUAUCCGGCCGACGCCAGCGCCCGUGUGAGGCCCCUUCGACGAGUCGAGUUGUUUGGGAAUGCAGCUCUAAAUGGGUGGUAAAUUCCAUCUAAAGCUAAAUACUGGCCAGAGACCGAUAGCGCACAAGUAGAGUGAUCGAAAGAUGAAAAGCACUUUGAAAAGAGAGUCAAACAGUACGUGAAAUUGUUGAAAGGGAAGCGUAUGUGGGCAGACUUGGACGCUGGAUUCAGGCCGCCUUCUGGCGGGUGUAUUUUCCAGCGGACAGGCCAGCAUCGGUUCUGAGGGCCGGACAAAGACGAAGGGAAUGUGGCUCCUCUCUAAAGGGUGUUAUAGCCCGGCGUGCAAUGCGGCC